GGGAAAAAAACCCCUCUCGUGAGGGGGCUUGACGGUACCGUAUGAAUAAUGAUCGGCUAACUCCGUGCCAGCAGCCGCGGUAAUACGGAGGAUCCAAGCGUUAUCCGGAAUCAUUGGGUUUAAAGGGUCCGUAGGCGGGACAAUAAGUCAGUGGUGAAAGUCUGCAGCUCAACUGUAGAACUGCCAUUGAUACUGUUGUCCUUGAGUAAUUAUGAAGUGGUUAGAAUAUGUAGUGUAGCGGUGAAAUGCAUAGAUAUUACAUAGAAUACCGAUUGCGAAGGCAGAUCACUAAUAAUUUACUGACGCUGAUGGACGAAAGCGUAGGUAGCGAACAGGAUUAGAUACCCUGGUAG
This 353-nucleotide ribosomal RNA is filed under the name uncultured Salinimicrobium sp. Its description in RNAcentral is "bacterial SSU rRNA". It matches the Rfam family "Bacterial small subunit ribosomal RNA", at positions 442 to 793 of the family's 1533-position model. Lineage: Bacteria; Pseudomonadati; Bacteroidota; Flavobacteriia; Flavobacteriales; Flavobacteriaceae. The record is from RNAcentral.